AUGAGCAGGGCUAUCAUUGAAGAGUAUAUUCAACAGGUUUGGAGCAAUGAUGCAUAUGAGAGUGUGGAACACGGAGUAAUGGUUAACUCUGCGAGAGAAAGGUUUUCAAUUCCCUUCUUUUUCUUCCCUGUGCAUUACACUGAAGUCAAGCCUUUGGAGGAGCUGACAAACGAGGAAAAUCCUCCAAAGUAUAGACCUUACAACUGGGGGAAGUUUCUUGUGAACAGAAAGGGUAGAAAUUUUGCGAAGAAAAAAGUGGAGAACAUUCAAAUUUAUCAUUAUAAGAUAGCUUAA
Molecule: long non-coding RNA, 294 nt
Filed under: Vicia faba (fava bean)
Lineage: Eukaryota; Viridiplantae; Streptophyta; Magnoliopsida; Fabales; Fabaceae
Source: RNAcentral